GAGGGUAUAGCUCAGUGGUAGAGUGUGUGCUUAGCACGCACAAGGUCCUAGGUUCAAUCCCCAGUACUUCCA
This 72-nucleotide transfer RNA is filed under the name Camelus bactrianus (Bactrian camel). It matches the Rfam family "tRNA". From Rfam's summary of the family: Transfer RNA (tRNA) molecules are approximately 80 nucleotides in length. Their secondary structure includes four short double-helical elements and three loops (D, anti-codon, and T loops). Lineage: Eukaryota; Metazoa; Chordata; Mammalia; Artiodactyla; Camelidae. RNAcentral also lists the same sequence under 2 other names. The record is from Rfam by way of RNAcentral.